RNAcentral lists this transfer RNA (64 nucleotides) under Dacus longicornis. RNAcentral describes it as "tRNA-His". The record is from RNAcentral. RNAcentral also lists the same sequence under 1 other name. Lineage: Eukaryota; Metazoa; Arthropoda; Insecta; Diptera; Tephritidae.
AUCUAAAUAGUUUAUUUAAAAUAUUGAUUUGUGGUGUCAAUGAUAUGAUUGAUCAUUUUAGAUC